CUAGCAGAUAAGAGGCGUUCAGAAGUGGCGCAGCCCCCGCUCUGAUAGCGCGAGGUGUCACCAAUGAAAGGCAGCGUCCCCGCUGAAUACGCUCGCGUGGAUGAAAGUCAAAAUAAGCAAGCUGAGAAGUACAUGAAAUAACGCCGCCACUAACUCCACAAACCGGAUGUGCCAGUUCUACGCCAAAGCCUCGCAAGAGUUUAAACCCCAAAAUGAAACUGAAACUGAAGUUUUUUGGGACUGGAUUGAGAUUGGAAGAUUUGAUCCAUGAAGAGCAACAACACGUCCUCCUCCCCCUGCCUUUGAAGGCGUAAACCCAACCGUGACAGGCAGCUGCUAAGAGGCCUUUCUGACCCACCGCUGAACACGGCCGGAUCUUCAGCAGCGAAGGUUCCAGUUAACCACGGACUCCUCUCUCCAUGUCGACUGAUUGCAUCAUCGGCUCGCCGCUGGCGUGAAAGUGGCUGAGUGAGAAAGUACAGGAUGUCUUUAUUGCUGUGGAGAGGGAAACCUUCUCCAACCGUCUCCACCUGCACUUAUCACUCGCUGAGCAGGCCUUCUAAACCUGCCUUCCACUGACCUAAAGAAGGAGGAAUGUCUCGGAACCAUCAGCAGAUCAUUUUCCUCACCGGCCAACCUCACGCGCCUUUCUUAAUUUGAUUGGCAUGUUCUAUUUAUUACCAUGCAACUGGGAUUUUAUCCGCUAUUUGCUUCCAGAUCAGCCUAUACGGAGAGGGAAGAGAGGCUCCCCUGUGGUAGUGGUGAUGUCACCAGUGCAGAGUAAAUACCCAAAGUGCAUCAUGUUAAAGUGGAAGAAAUGGAAAGGAUGUUUGUUUGGUGUGAAGAGGCGCGACGCUCAAACCGGCCACUCAUCAGGAGAAACUAGACUUACAAAUCUGCUCACAAAAAAACACUAAAAGCCAACUUUGGUUUUGAAGGCCAGUUAGGUGUACUUUUUUAGAGUGCUGAUUAUUUUUAAUGACACAAAUCACGGGGUGACAUUUUCAGAUAUGUCAUUUUUUUAAAUUUCAAUCACAACCUCUCUUUGGGGUUGACUGAUGAAUCACAGCAACCUUUUCUCCCUCCGAAUUCAUUUGUAUCUCUUUGGAGUAAGAGCCUUGCUGCAGCUGUCUGUGCCGUGUG
Long non-coding RNA from Gasterosteus aculeatus aculeatus (three-spined stickleback), 1143 nucleotides. NCBI's taxonomy places the organism in Eukaryota, Metazoa, Chordata, Actinopteri, Perciformes, Gasterosteidae. The record is from Ensembl.